RNAcentral lists this transfer RNA (83 nucleotides) under Acidimicrobiaceae bacterium. RNAcentral's name for it is "tRNA-Leu". It matches the Rfam family "tRNA". Rfam says of the family: Transfer RNA (tRNA) molecules are approximately 80 nucleotides in length. RNAcentral also lists the same sequence under 1 other name. The record is from RNAcentral. Lineage: Bacteria; Bacillati; Actinomycetota; Acidimicrobiia; Acidimicrobiales; Acidimicrobiaceae.
GCGGGCGUGGCGGAAUUGGCAGACGCGCAGGAUUUAGGUUCCUGUUCUUCGGAGUGUGGGUUCAAGUCCCACCGCCCGUACUA